GAGUUUGAUCAUGGCUCAGAUUGAACGCUGGCGGCAUGCCUAACACAUGCAAGUCGAGCGGCAGCGCGGGGGCAACCCUGGCGGCGAGCGGCGGACGGGUGAGUAAGGCAUCGGAAUCUGCCCUGAUGUGGGGGAUAACGUAGGGAAACUUACGCUAAUACCGCAUACGACCGAGAGGUGAAAGCGGGGGACCGAAAGGCCUCGCGCGGCAGGAUGAGCCGAUGUCCGAUUAGCUGGUUGGUGGGGUAAUGGCCUACCAAGGCGACGAUCGGUAGCUGGUCUGAGAGGAUGAUCAGCCACACUGGGACUGAGACACGGCCCAGACUCCUACGGGAGGCAGCAGUGGGGAAUAUUGGACAAUGGGGGCAACCCUGAUCCAGCAAUGCCGCGUGUGUGAAGAAGGCCUUCGGGUUGUAAAGCACUUUUAUCGGGAGCGAAACGCGCCGGGUUAAUACCUUGGCGAACUGACGGUACCCGAGGAUAAGCACCGGCUAACUCCGUGCCAGCAGCCGCGGUAAUACGAGGGUGCAAGCGUUAAUCGGAAUUACUGGGCGUA
Molecule: ribosomal RNA, 556 nt
Filed under: uncultured Lysobacteraceae bacterium
Lineage: Bacteria; Pseudomonadati; Pseudomonadota; Gammaproteobacteria; Lysobacterales; Lysobacteraceae
Description: bacterial SSU rRNA
Rfam family: Bacterial small subunit ribosomal RNA
Source: RNAcentral